This 740-nucleotide ribosomal RNA is filed under the name Nocardioides sediminis. Its description in RNAcentral is "bacterial SSU rRNA". It matches the Rfam family "Bacterial small subunit ribosomal RNA", at positions 75 to 830 of the family's 1533-position model. Lineage: Bacteria; Bacillati; Actinomycetota; Actinomycetes; Propionibacteriales; Nocardioidaceae. The record is from RNAcentral.
CCCCUUCGGGGGUACUCGAGCGGCGAACGGGUGAGUAACACGUGAGUAAUCUGCCCUGGACUUUGGGAUAGCCACCGGAAACGGUGAUUAAUACCGGAUACGACGACUCCACGCAUGUGGUGGUCGUGGAAAGUUUUUCGGUUCAGGAUGUGCUCGCGGCCUAUCAGCUUGAUGGUGGGGUAAUGGCCUACCAUGGCUUCGACGGGUAGCCGGCCUGAGAGGGUGACCGGCCACACUGGGACUGAGACACGGCCCAGACUCCUACGGGAGGCAGCAGUGGGGAAUAUUGGACAAUGGGCGGAAGCCUGAUCCAGCAACGCCGCGUGAGGGAUGACGGCCUUCGGGUUGUAAACCUCUUUCAGUACCGACGAAGCGAAAGUGACGGUAGGUACAGAAGAAGCACCGGCCAACUACGUGCCAGCAGCCGCGGUAAUACGUAGGGUGCGAGCGUUGUCCGGAAUUAUUGGGCGUAAAGGGCUCGUAGGCGGUUUGUCGCGUCGGGAGUGAAAACACUGGGCUUAACUCAGUGCUUGCUUCCGAUACGGGCAGACUAGAGGUAUGCAGGGGAGAACGGAAUUCCUGGUGUAGCGGUGAAAUGCGCAGAUAUCAAGAGGAACACCGGUGGCGAAGGCGGUUCUCUGGGCAUUACCUGACGCUGAGGAGCGAAAGUGUGGGGAGCGAACAGGAUUAGAUACCCUGGUAGUCCACACCGUAAACGUUGGGCGCUAGGUGUGGGAUCC